GUGGGGAAUAUUGGACAAUGGGGGGAACCCUGAUCCAGCCAUGCCGCGUGUGUGAAGAAGGCCUUUUGGUUGUAAAGCACUUUAAGCGAGGAGGAGGCUACCGAGAUUAAUACUCUUGGAUAGUGGACGUUACUCGCAGAAUAAGCACCGGCUAACUCUGUGCCAGCAGCCGCGGUAAUACAGAGGGUGCAAGCGUUAAUCGGAUUUACUGGGCGUAAAGCGCGCGUAGGUGGCCAAUUAAGUCAAAUGUGAAAUCCCCGAGCUUAACUUGGGAAUUGCAUUCGAUACUGGUUAGCUAGAGUAUGGGAGAGGAUGGUAGAAUUCCAGGUGUAGCGGUGAAAUGCGUAGAGAUCUGGAGGAAUACCGAUGGCGAAGGCAGCCAUCUGGCCUAAUACUGACACUGAGGUGCGAAAGCAUGGGGAGCAAACAGGAUUAGAAACCCCUGUAGUCC
Molecule: ribosomal RNA, 451 nt
Filed under: uncultured bacterium
Lineage: Bacteria
Description: partial 16S ribosomal RNA
Rfam family: Bacterial small subunit ribosomal RNA
Source: RNAcentral